AGAACGAACGCUGGCGGCAGGCUUAACACAUGCAAGUCGAACGCCCCGCAAGGGGAGUGGCAGACGGGUGAGUAACGCGUGGGAAUAUACCCUUCGGUUCGGAAUAACUCAGGGAAACUUGAGCUAAUACCGGAUACGGCCGAGAGGCGAAAGAUUUAUCGCCGAAGGAUUAGCCCGCGUUGGAUUAGCUAGUUGGUGGGGUAAAGGCCUACCAAGGCGACGAUCCAUAGCUGGUCUGAGAGGAUGAUCAGCCACACUGGGACUGAGACACGGCCCAGACUCCUACGGGAGGCAGCAGUGGGGAAUCUUGGACAAUGGGCGAAAGCCUGAUCCAGCCAUGCCGCGUGAGUGAAGAAGGCCUUAGGGUUGUAAAGCUCUUUCGGCGGGGAAGAUAAUGACGGUACCCGCAGAAGAAGCCCCGGCUAACUCCGUGCCAGCAGCCGC
This 444-nucleotide ribosomal RNA is filed under the name uncultured bacterium. RNAcentral's name for it is "SSU rRNA". It matches the Rfam family "Bacterial small subunit ribosomal RNA", at positions 26 to 518 of the family's 1533-position model. The record is from RNAcentral.